Molecule: ribosomal RNA, 176 nt
Filed under: uncultured bacterium
Lineage: Bacteria
Description: partial 16S ribosomal RNA
Rfam family: Bacterial small subunit ribosomal RNA
Source: RNAcentral
CCUACGGGAGGCAGCAGUGGGGAAUCUUGCGCAAUGGGCGAAAGCCUGACGCAGCGACGCCGCGUGAGGGAAGAAGGCCUUCGGGUUGUAAACCUCUUUCAGGAGGGACGAAGCCACUCGGGUUAAUAGCCCAGAGGGUGACGGUACCUCAGGAGGAAGCCCCGGCUAACUACGUG